GCUGAGGCGAGAGAGAUUGGCAGACUCUUACUGUCUAAAAAUCACCCCGUUCCUACUCCUGCUUCGAGCCGGAUCCUCGGUAACCUGUAAUCCGGUGGUGGCUUGGAAUAGUUUUGUUUGUUUUUUAAAAAACGUGUCGUGGGUGCAUUAACAAACAUACAAGUUCACAUACACAUGUCACCCAGACCCGAAACAACAAUUUGUGGAUCACACAAAGAAUUGCUCCGUGCGGAAAUCGAACCCGCUACACUUUGCACGGCAGCCGGUCGCCCAGCCACCGCACCAACCGUGCAGUCGAAUAGUAGUUAGGUCACUAGACAUUUUAAGCAUGCUUUCAAUAACUGAUUGCAAUUUUAGUAAAAAAAUACUUUUAUUAUUACUGUAAUGACAAUAUUAGAACCUAUGUAGUAUUUAUUGAUUUGCCUAGUUUUAAUAGUAAGGUGUAAUAGGUACAUAUAAUAUGGAAUACUUAGUAACAGUAUUGCAAGGCGAAUACGUAAAAUUUUUCACCCUUAUUACAAUGAGAAUAAAAGGCAGUUAGAGGUAAAAAUACGACUGAAAUGACCAUUAUUAAGUGAGAAAUCGAUUGAAUAAUGUUCAUUUACAAGGUAUAUGAUAUUAUUAUUAUAAUAAUAUUGUCACGAUGCUUAACUAUAAAUCAAUUUACAGUAACUAGUUCUGCUGUGUCCCUGUAUAAAUAGUUGUAAAAUUUUACAAAUUCGUAUAACAUUUCAAUAAGUCUUGAAGCCAUCAUGAAGUUCCUAUACGUCGCUCUGCUGUUCGCUCUCGCCAUGUUUGUGACUGACGUCGCUGCCGAUGGAGUCCAAAUUUUGGUCGAUGGCCGCCGCGCGGGCCAGAUCUGUCGCCGAGACUCCGAUUGCGGAGACAUGUGCAAUUGUGUUGAAAGCAUCUGUAGAUGUUUCAGAAGAAGCCUCGGUUUAAGCGAUUUAUAUUAUUAAUAAAUAAUGAAGAUAAAUAACACAUGUGUUAUAAACUUAUAACAAUUGUUAUAUUUAAAUAAUUAAAUGUUUUCGUUUGGC
Long non-coding RNA from Spodoptera frugiperda (fall armyworm), 1040 nucleotides. RefSeq lists it as uncharacterized. NCBI's taxonomy places the organism in Eukaryota, Metazoa, Arthropoda, Insecta, Lepidoptera, Noctuidae. The transcript is spliced from 2 exons. The record is from RefSeq and is a predicted model, not a curated record.